Molecule: non-coding RNA, 199 nt
Organism: Oryza glumipatula
Lineage: Eukaryota; Viridiplantae; Streptophyta; Magnoliopsida; Poales; Poaceae
Source: Rfam
AAAAAGACAAACACUAUGUUUCUGUUUCCAACGUUUGACUAUUCGUCUUAUAUAAUUUUUUUUAUAAUUAGUAUUUUCAUUGUUGGUAGAUGAUAAAAUAUGAUUAAUACUUUACGUGUGACUUGUCUUUUUUUUCAUAAUUUUUUUAAAUAAGACAGACAGUCAAACGCUGGACACGGAAACCAGGGUUUGUCUUUUU